Molecule: non-coding RNA, 146 nt
Filed under: Chromera velia
Lineage: Eukaryota; Chromeraceae
Source: RNAcentral
ACACAAGGGAAAAGAAAGCGCUUUGCCUCUUUCCCUUUCCCCCUCCGCCUUUUUCGUUGACUCAGAUCCUCCCGAAGGAAAAUUUUGGCCUUUCCUUUGCAUCUGUCGGCCCUUCUGGCGCCUGUCCGUCCUUCCUCUCCUCCGUC